This 732-nucleotide ribosomal RNA is filed under the name Triticum aestivum (bread wheat). RNAcentral describes it as "partial small subunit ribosomal RNA". The record is from RNAcentral. Lineage: Eukaryota; Viridiplantae; Streptophyta; Magnoliopsida; Poales; Poaceae.
AUGAGCGAUGAGCUAAUGGAGUUGCUAUACUUCAUUGCAAGUAGUCAAAAGGAAGACGCUAAAAAAUCGAUCUCAACAAGGAUGCUCUUCAAGCUAGCCGGACGAAGGAAGGAACCAGUGAGGCCGCUCCUUCUACAUGUAGUAAUGAAGCCGAGACCCCAAUUUGUUCGGUACCAUUUAACUGGAAUUAACCGAUGCAAGUCCAAGAAGGAUUGGCCGGUGCUGCCGGCUGGCGUCAAGUUCGAUCCCACGGAUCAGGAGCUGAUUGAGCACCUUGAGGCCAAAGUGAGUGCUGACAACGCGAGAUCUCACCCUCUCAUCGAUUUGUUCAUACCAACCAUCGACAGCGAGCACGACAUAUGCUACAUCCAUCCUGAGAAACUUCCAGGUAUCACACUGAGUGGCCUAAGCAAGCAUUUCUUCCAGCGCAACUCCAGGGCAUUCAAAAGGGGCACACAGACGCGUCACAAGAUACAGUCGGAGUGCGGCAUGCACGCGAUGUGGCACAAGACCGGCAAUACCUUGCGGGUGAUGGUCAACGGCCGGCAGACGGGCAGCAAAAAGGUUCUGGUGCGGCACACCAACAAGAACUUCGACCGGCAAAGGACCAACUGGGUGAUGCACCAGUACCACCUCGGGGACCUAGAGCAGGAGAAGGAGCGGGAGCUGGUCCUCUGCAAGAUUUUCUACCAGACGAACACUAGGGCCAAGACUAAAAAGAUUAUAAGUUAG